UACGAAGGGGGCUAGCGUUGCUCGGAAUCACUGGGCGUAAAGGGUGCGUAGGCGGGGCUUUAAGUCAGGGGUGAAAUCCUGGAGCUCAACUCCAGAACUGCCUUUGAUACUGAGGAUCUUGAGUUCGGGAGAGGUGAGUGGAACUGCGAGUGUAGAGGUGAAAUUCGUAGAUAUUCGCAAGAACACCAGUGGCGAAGGCGGCUGACUGGUCCGGUUCUGACGCUGAGGCGCGAAAGCGUGGGGAGCAAACAGG
This 253-nucleotide ribosomal RNA is filed under the name uncultured bacterium. RNAcentral describes it as "partial 16S ribosomal RNA". It matches the Rfam family "Bacterial small subunit ribosomal RNA", at positions 524 to 776 of the family's 1533-position model. The record is from RNAcentral.